GACGAACGCUGGCGGCGUGCUUAACACAUGCAAGUCGAACGCUGAAGCUCAGCUUUUGUUGGGUGGAUGAGUGGCGAACGGGUGAGUAACACGUGAGUAACCUGCCCCCUUCUUUGGGAUAACGCCCGGAAACGGGUGCUAAUACUGGAUAUUCACUGGUCUUCGCAUGGGGGUUGGUGGAAAGGGGUUUUCUGGUGGGGGAUGGGCGCGCGGCCUAUCAGCUUGUUGGUGGGGUGAUGGCCUACCAAGGCUUUGACGGGUAGCCGGCCUGAGAGGGUGACCGGUCACUUUGAGACUGAGCUACGGCCCAGACUCCGACGCGGGGCAGCAGUGGGGAAUAUUGCACAAUGGGCGCUAGCCUGAUGCCGCGUCGCCGCGUGAGGGAUUGGGGCCUUCGGGUUGUGAACCUCUUUCGCUCAUGGUCAAGCCGCAACAAUGGUUGUGGUGAGGGUAGUGGGUAAAGAAGCGCCGGCUAACUACGUG
This 483-nucleotide ribosomal RNA is filed under the name uncultured bacterium. RNAcentral describes it as "partial 16S ribosomal RNA". It matches the Rfam family "Bacterial small subunit ribosomal RNA", at positions 28 to 507 of the family's 1533-position model. The record is from RNAcentral.